GUGUAUAUAUCUUGCUGGAUCGUAAAAUAAGACAGUUUACAAGAUCGAAGCUCAUUUGACUUGAGCGUAUUUGUUCGAACGGUUCGAACAAAAUCAAACGAGGACGACGACGUUUUUAUUAUUGUUGCUAAGUCGACUCGAUCACAGAUGGCGACACCUGCAGCUGAAAAAGCGUUUCUUUAUUCUCUUUAUCUCCCGUUUUUAUUGUUGUUUCUAUAGACGUGUAUACGCAUCGCGUGGAACUAACCAAUAUCCAUUCAAUUUAUGAGGUACAAAGUAAAUAAAUCGCUGCUACAUGAAAUGGCAGAAAAAGUGAGCAAAUAAAUAUUCAUUUCGCAAUAUAAGGCCAUAUCUGUGGGGUGUGCGAGUACAUUUGUAAAUGGGGUGAUUUGUUUCUCGGGCAAAUUCUCUAUAUACUCGGGUGCAUGCUUCGACGAAUAAGAGCUUCUGCGUUGAAUCCGAGAUAUCCGUUGCGUGUGCGUGCGUGCGUGCGGGCGCGCGGUUCGACGACGAAACGUAUAUAUUUUGCUGUUUCACGAAAGCAUGAAAGAGCAGAGCAACCGGUCGUGGGUCAUCGCGGUGUUGCUGUUGCUGGCUCUCGCCACUCUCGCACUGCUUGGGAGCGAGAGACAAAAAUAGAUUGUUACUUUAUUAGAAGAAUCCGCAUGCGGGUACGGAUACAGGCUGUUCCUAAAGUUGCGCCCUCGCUCUGGAAAACACCUCGUCAGAUUUAUAAAACGUCAUUUCUCAAAAUCGGGAACAACCGAACGGGGCUCGUGCGAGCAGCCGAGACCGGGAGAGAAACACCGUUCUUCGACGAAUUCCACGAGUCCCUCAACUCCUCGGUCGUUCGCAACUAUAUUGCUCGCUCUCUCGGUUCUCGCUCCCUCCCUCCCUCUCUUGCUAUCUCAAGGCACAGCCGGUUAGUACGUGGAAUGACGACAACGUGAGGAAUGAGACUUCGCAUGGAUGCGAAGAGGCCGCAAAGGGGUUGCAGCCGCCGACUGUUGCGAUGCCUCCGCAAGAGAAGAUUCGAGCAGCAGCUUGUUAUAGACGAAAAGACCAGGAAUAUUCAAUGGAGGAGAGAACAAGAUGGAGCGAGAUGAAAAAAAGAAACGGGAACGAGAAAAAAUGAGAAAGAAAGUCUGAGCGAAGCGAGCGCUUCGCAUAUUCGGAAUCAUAUUCCUCGUGUCAUCUGGUGGAGAAAACUGCAACUUUUCAUCGUGUCCUUAAUUUAGUAUACUUAUUUUCGUGUUGCGCCGCGCGAGCCCGAUUUAUUUUACGAUUUGCCCAUUUAGCCUAACGAAAUUGAAUAUUUCGUUAAAAUUCUCGUAUUCGUGAUAAAACUAACCUCACUAAAGUUCUGCAAGUUUUCAUUUGUAUGCGUCUUGUGUGUUUUAUGUACAGUGUCAAAAAAAAUGUUCUUCCCGAUCAAAAUUUAGGUUAAUUCGCAACUUCGAAGCUACGAAACGCGUCAAACGUUUCGGGUUCUGGUCAAUAAAUAAGAGAUCUUAUUGAACGUCGAGAGCGGCAAGAUUCUCCGGAAAAUAUCUUUGUCGACUUGUAUCGCACAGAGAUAAGCAUAUAUUGGAGGAGUUCGGAGAGCUCUACAGUCGAGAAACAGCGCGAAGAGGGGCGCUACAGGAGGGGGCAGGGAGAGCCAAGCAGUACGUGCUCUAUAGUUUUGUUCUGGCGAAGCUACAUUAACGGUAACGAAGCCGAGAGUUGCGCGACUGGAUGAGAGAGAAAGAGAGAGAAGAGGCGGUACUGGACCGGGAAGGAGAGAAAGAGUGGGAACGAAGAAACAGAGAAGAGAAGGUUAUUAUGAGGACAUUGUACGAGCGAGUGAAAUCGACGCGAUAGAGUGGGUGAACAAAAUCCUGUGCUGUCGCUGCUGCGCCGAGUACGAUAGGGGAAAUAACAGUCGCGGUUCGAGUUUCACCGCGUGCGUGUAAACUCUGGUGUACGAAUAUACUCGUACAUUUAUGUUUACCAAUAACGAGAUAUACGCAUUUGUAUCUGCCUAUACAUAAAAUAUGCUGAUUUACUACGA
This 2053-nucleotide long non-coding RNA is filed under the name Venturia canescens. RNAcentral describes it as "uncharacterized LOC122415672". The record is from RNAcentral. Lineage: Eukaryota; Metazoa; Arthropoda; Insecta; Hymenoptera; Ichneumonidae.